GACGAACGCUGGCGGCGUGCUUAACACAUGCAAGUCGAGCGGUAAGGCCCUUUCGGGGGUACACGAGCGGCGAACGGGUUGAGUAACACGUGGGUGACCUGCCCUCAGCUCUGGGAUAAGCCUGGGAAACCGGGUCUAAUACUGGAUAUGACUCCAUGACGCAUGUUGUGGGGUGGAAAGCCUUGUGCGGCUGAGGAUGGGCCCGCGGCCUAUCAGCUUGUUGGUGGGGUGANGGCCUACCAAGGCGACGACGGUAGCCGGCCUGAGAGGGCGACCGGCCACACUGGGACUGAGACACGGCCCAGACUCCUACGGGAGGCAGCAGUGGGGAAUCUUGCGCAAUGGGCGAAAGCCUGACGCAGCGAC
Molecule: ribosomal RNA, 366 nt
Filed under: uncultured bacterium
Lineage: Bacteria
Description: bacterial SSU rRNA
Rfam family: Bacterial small subunit ribosomal RNA
Source: RNAcentral